Molecule: non-coding RNA, 1625 nt
Organism: Cyanistes caeruleus (blue tit)
Lineage: Eukaryota; Metazoa; Chordata; Aves; Passeriformes; Paridae
Source: RefSeq, a predicted model, not a curated record
ACCUUCUUUUUCUCAGACAACUAAUGCUGGAAACCUUUGGAAAGCAAUUAAUGAGUCAUCUUGGAUACUGCAUAAAUCGUUGACAAUCAGCUUGAGCAAAUCAAGAACAAUACAUGGAAUGAUAGACAGAGGUCCCCAUGGCUGCCAGCUAACCUGAAGGCUUGCCCUUUUUUUGCUGCAAAAAAUUUGAGGAAGGAUCUCGUAGCCUUCUGACAAGUGAACCGAGAGAUGCAGAGGCUCACGUAUCUGGCUGCCAGGCUCUUCCUCAGGCUCCCUCCCUUUGGUCACCUGGCUCUGCAGAUGAAGUUCUGUGCUCUGGAAUGGAGAAGAUGUAGUACCAUUGUGUACAGCACUUCAACAACCAUUUAUGCUGGCAUGCUUGUAACAGAUUGGAAGACUGCUUGCUGGUAGAGGCUGAGGAGAAGGAAUAACAUUUUUUAUAUUUGCACCUGUAGUUUACUGAACACUGGGGGCCCAGGCCUAGACUUGGUCUUCUAUGUAACAGCACUGGCUCACAGUGAGACUGAGUGUGUUGGACCAAGUGCUAAAUCUUGGUUCAAUAAAUUGCAAGACAUUUUGUUAGAUUAAGCACAAUAAGUGACAGAUCUAUUUAUUGAAACUCAAGUGAAGAAAUUGAUCAAAAAAUCUGUAGCCUCCAAUGAGAGGUGAAUAAAGAUAAUUAUAAUAUCAAAGUCUGCCAGAACCAGAGAAGUUGGUGGCUGAGACACACAAAACCCUGGUCCUUUAUACAAUUAAUGACUGUCAAAGAAAUGAAAAUUCAUCUUUUAGCAAAAGUUGUGUUUAUCCAAACAUGAGGGUCCACUUGAUAUGCUAUUCUAGCAGCAUGAAUAGGAAACUACUGACUGUGGAUCUAUGGCCUGACAGACUGGGAUGGUUUUAGAAGACCCUGACUACACAGCUGUUUGUGCUUUUCAUAUCCAGUCUCUAUUGUCUCCCUUUCAUUGUGGCUGAAAAUAUCAAUAUAGACAAAUAGAAAACUAGAUUAAUCAUUUGAUAUUUAGGCAAUCUAUGGAGCCCUAAAGAACUUUAUAUCUUGUAAAAAUUGCCAAAGAAAAGUGGGGACUGUCACUUUAGAAAAAAUCUCUUAAGUCUUAGGCCUGUCUCUAAAAUGGCUAUUUAAUGCAAUUUUUUCUCUUCUGCUCAUAAGCCAAUUACAGCAGUACUAGUUAUUUCUUGUUAAUCCUUUUUACAGACAUAUCUAAAUGCUGUCAGAGCCCAAAGUGGAUGAGGCCAAAGAGGUCUUCACUGUAAGAGGAAUGACAGGUUAUGUGAAUUGUUAUUCAUCAGGCAGUAAGGCAGCACAGCUCAGUUUAUGCAGCAACGCACAGCACCUCCUUUUUCCUCUGCCUCUGCUCCUUGGUUUUCUGCUGAAUUCAGUCAAGGAGCUGCCAGAUGCCACCAGGUGAGUGCCAGGAGCUGCAAGGAGGAAGGGAAGGAUUCAGUGAACUGGCAGUUUGGAGGGUAUAAGCUUCCUGUUGCAGGUGUGGAAUUAGAUUAAGUGCUUAUGUAUCUGUAUGUAUUCUUGGGCUCUUAGAUAUGAAGUGGCACUCUAACAUGGUAAAAACAUUUUCUGUUCUCCUGUGUUGAUAAUGAAGUUGUGAAUU